RNAcentral lists this transfer RNA (70 nucleotides) under Dipodomys ordii (Ord's kangaroo rat). It matches the Rfam family "tRNA". Rfam says of the family: Transfer RNA (tRNA) molecules are approximately 80 nucleotides in length. Lineage: Eukaryota; Metazoa; Chordata; Mammalia; Rodentia; Heteromyidae. The record is from Rfam by way of RNAcentral.
GGGAUUGUGGCUUAGUGGUAGAGUGCUUGCUUAGCAUGCAUAAAGCCGUGGGUUCAAUUCCUCAAUACCA